Molecule: ribosomal RNA, 482 nt
Filed under: uncultured bacterium
Lineage: Bacteria
Description: partial 16S ribosomal RNA
Rfam family: Bacterial small subunit ribosomal RNA
Source: RNAcentral
GAUGAACGCUGGCGGCGUGCUUAACACAUGCAAGUCGAACGAUGAAGCCCAGCUUGCUGGGUGGAUUAGUGGCGAACGGGUGAGUAACACGUGAGUAACCUGCCCUUAACUCUGGGAUAAGCCUGGGAAACUGGGUCUAAUACCGGAUAGGAGCGUCCACCGCAUGGUGGGUGUUGGAAAGAUUUAUCGGUUUUGGAUGGACUCGCGGCCUAUCAGCUUGUUGGUGAGGUAAUGGCUCACCAAGGCGACGACGGGUAGCCGGCCUGAGAGGGGGACCGGCAACACUGGGACUGAGACACGGCCCAGACUCCUACGGGAGGCAGCAGUGGGGAAUAUUGCACAAUGGGCGAAAGCCUGAUGCAGCGACGCCGCGUGAGGGAUGACGGCCUUCGGGUUGUAAACCUCUUUCAGUAGGGAAGAAGCGAAAGUGACGGUACCUGCAGAAGAAGCACCGGCUAACUACGUGCCAGCCGCCGCCGUAG